This 594-nucleotide long non-coding RNA is filed under the name Citrus x clementina. RNAcentral describes it as "Citrus clementina (C. clementina) long non-coding RNA (CCLE_LNC003288)". Lineage: Eukaryota; Viridiplantae; Streptophyta; Magnoliopsida; Sapindales; Rutaceae. The record is from RNAcentral.
AUACCUUUUUUAGCAAUAUUCAACCAUUUCUUAUCAUUUAAACUGCCUCCACGUGCAUCAUGCAUGACAAAAGGAAUGAAGUAUUAAUUUCACAAUCGUAAACGUAAUUAAAAGUUUAAUUUCAUUAAGUCAACAUUUAAAAGAAUACCAAAGAGUCAAUUCAUGUACUGAACCAAGGGGCAAGUGGAUUGUCGGUGAUUGAUGAGUGACUUCGACUGACCAUCAUGUUAGCCUCCAUAUGCGUACAAUUGUAUUCGUAUACAAAAGACAUCGCUCGUUAAUCUCACGAGAGAAACAUGUUAAUCAACAGUUCACAGAAUUAAAAGGUGGUUAAUAUAAUUUUUUAAUUUCAAUUAUUUAAACAGUCAUCAAAUCUGUCAAAUUUAUUUUUUCAGAUUAAACAAAAAAAUAAAAAAAACAAGUGUAGUCUAUUGAAAUUUCUAUACUUUCCAUGAAAAAUGUGUAUUUUAAUAUUAACACAUCUCAAUCUUGAUUUAUCCUCUUAUUAUUAUCUCUUCUUCCUCAAAAAAUUGCUAGAUUAACAAAUAUUGCAAUAAUUUACAUAUCUAAAUUAGUUUUUUUAUAUUUGCAUAC